GAUGAACGCUAGCUACAGGCUUAACACAUGCAAGUCGCGGGGCAGCAUGGGGGUUGCUUGCAAUCCCCGAUGGCGACCGGCGCACGGGUGAGUAACGCGUAUCCAACCUGCCCUUCACCACGGGAUAACCCGGCGAAAGUCGGACUAAUACCGUAUGUUGUCCAUUGACGGCAUCCGAUUUGGACGAAAGGCUUGGCGGUGAGGGAUGGGGAUGCGUCCGAUUAGCCAGACGGCGGGGUAACGGCCCACCGUGGCUACGAUCGGUAGGGGUUCUGAGAGGAAGGUCCCCCACACUGGAACUGAGACACGGUCCAGACUCCUACGGGAGGAAGCAGUGAGGAAUAGUGGUCAAUGGGCGUAAGCCUGAACCAGCCAAGUAGCGUGCAGGAGGACGGCCCUAUGGGUUGUAAACUGCUUUUAUGCGGGGAUAAAGUGGCCCACGGGUGGGCUUUUGCAGGUACCGCAUGAAUAAGGACCGGCUAAUUCCGUG
Molecule: ribosomal RNA, 490 nt
Filed under: uncultured bacterium
Lineage: Bacteria
Description: partial 16S ribosomal RNA
Rfam family: Bacterial small subunit ribosomal RNA
Source: RNAcentral